RNAcentral lists this ribosomal RNA (271 nucleotides) under uncultured bacterium. Its description in RNAcentral is "partial 16S ribosomal RNA". It matches the Rfam family "Bacterial small subunit ribosomal RNA", at positions 80 to 353 of the family's 1533-position model. The record is from RNAcentral.
UAAGUUUGAUGGCGACCGGCGCACGGUGAGUAACACGUAUCCAACCUGCCGAUGACUCGGGGAUAGCCUUUCGAAAGAAAGAUUAAUACCCGAUGGCAUAGUUCUUCCGCAUGGUGGAACUAUUAAAGAAUUUCGGUCAUCGAUGGGAUGCGUUCCAUUAGGUUGUUGGCGGGUAACGGCCCACCAAGCCUUCGAUGGAUAGGGGUUCUGAGAGGAAGGUCCCCCACAUUGGAACUGAGACACGGUCCAAACUCCUACGGGAGGCAGCAUG